GAUGAACGCUGGCGGCGUGCCUAAUACAUGCAAGUCGAGCGAACAGACGAGGAGCUUGCUCCUCUGACGUUAGCGGCGGACGGGUGAGUAACACGUGGAUAACCUACCUAUAAGACUGGGAUAAAUUCGGGAAACCGGAGCUAAUACCGGAUAACAUGUUGAACCGCAUGGUUCAACAGUGAAAGACGGUCUUGCUGUCACUUAUAGAUGGAUCCGCGCCGCAUUAGCUAGUUGGUAAGGUAACGGCUUACCAAGGCAACGAUGCGUAGCCGACCUGAGAGGGUGAUCGGCCACACUGGAACUGAGACACGGUCCAGACUCCUACGGGAGGCAGCAGUAGGGAAUCUUCCGCAAUGGGCGAAAGCCUGACGGAGCAACGCCGCGUGAGUGAUGAAGGUCUUCGGAUCGUAAAACUCUGUUAUUAGGGAAGAACAAAUGUGUAAGUAACUAUGCACGUCUUGACGGUACCUAAUCAGAAAGCCACGGCUAACUACGUG
This 497-nucleotide ribosomal RNA is filed under the name uncultured bacterium. RNAcentral describes it as "partial 16S ribosomal RNA". It matches the Rfam family "Bacterial small subunit ribosomal RNA", at positions 28 to 507 of the family's 1533-position model. The record is from RNAcentral.